This 450-nucleotide ribosomal RNA is filed under the name uncultured bacterium. RNAcentral's name for it is "partial 16S ribosomal RNA". It matches the Rfam family "Bacterial small subunit ribosomal RNA", at positions 354 to 796 of the family's 1533-position model. The record is from RNAcentral.
GUGGGGAAUCUUCCGCAAUGGACGAAAGUCUGACGGAGCAACGCCGCGUGAACGAUGACGGCCUUCGGGUUGUAAAGUUCUGUUAUACGGGACGAAUGGUACGACGGCCAAUACCCGUCGUAAGUGACGGUACCGUAAGAGAAAGCCACGGCUAACUACGUGCCAGCAGCCGCGGUAAUACGUAGGUGGCAAGCGUUGUCCGGAAUUAUUGGGCGUAAAGGGCGCGCAGGCGGCGUCGUAAGUCGGUCUUAAAAGUGCGGGGCUGAACCCCGUGAGGGGACCGAAACUGCGAUGCUAGAGUAUCGGAGAGGAAAGCGGAAUUCCUAGUGUAGCGGUGAAAUGCGUAGAUAUUAGGAGGAACACCAGUGGCGAAAGCGGCUUUCUGGACGACAACUGACGCUGAGGCGCGAAAGCCAGGGGAGCAAACGGGAUUAGAAACCCCAGUAGUCC